CCGUCGCCGCUGGAAGGAGAAGAGAAAGACAGCGGGGCUGCCGCUGCUGUUGUGGUGAAGCUGUCGAGGCUGGUGGCGCGCCGGUGGUGUUUGCUCCUGUUGUUGGCAGCGGUGGUUGGCCUUGUUGCUGAGUGCUGCUGCCGCUGCUCUUGGUGUAGGAGAUGGAGCAGCUGCUGGGUCAGUUGAGAGAGACCCGGCUAUGGGAGAAGGAAGGGAAAGGAGCGCCGGCUGGAAUGGGACAGCGGCUGUGCAAGGGGGAAGAAAAUUGAUGAAGAAGGAGAUGAAGUUGUGGGUCUCUUCGGGUUGGUCUUUUGGCCGAAGGAGAUGAUGAAGAAGAUGGGCUAAAAUGGAUGAAGGGUGAAGACGAUCGGGAGGAAAAGUUGUGGUCGAGAGGGAGAAGGAAAGGCUGAAAUCAAUGAAUCGGGUGUUGUAUGCGGGCGGCUGAAGAGGAAAAAUCUGCAAAAACCAAAGGAGGGAGGGGGGCGGCGGCUCUCCUUGAAAAAAAAGAUGGGUUUAGGGUUAGGUUUUUUUUGUAUUUUUGAAAGCGAGCAAAUAUCAACAUCGACUCAAUGCGGGAAAUCAAUGAUUUUAAAAAUAACGCGUGAAAAGUUGAACGCGUUCCAAAUAUCUUUGAAAAUUUAAAUUUUUUUGAGACGAUGCUAAAAAUGCUAAAAAACGAUGCA
RNAcentral lists this long non-coding RNA (683 nucleotides) under Populus trichocarpa (black cottonwood). RNAcentral describes it as "long non-coding RNA (PTRI_LNC000172)". The record is from RNAcentral. Lineage: Eukaryota; Viridiplantae; Streptophyta; Magnoliopsida; Malpighiales; Salicaceae.